Molecule: long non-coding RNA, 742 nt
Filed under: Chrysolophus pictus (golden pheasant)
Lineage: Eukaryota; Metazoa; Chordata; Aves; Galliformes; Phasianidae
Description: lncRNA (ENSCPIG00010006907.1)
Source: RNAcentral
GUGUGUGCGUGCGUGUGUGUGAGUGUGUGUGAGAGAGAGCUUUGCGGCUUACACGCUGUACGUAACAACAAAUAUAUAAAACAGAGAACGGAAAUGUAUUUAGAAGCAGUGUUAUGUGCGUAGCGGUGUUCCAUAGAUAGCUCAUCUACUUGCUUUGUUACCAAAGGGAGCACUGAAGGUUGGGUUCAGUCUGCAGGAAGGGAUGUGGACAGCAACGGAUGCUAGGGGAGACAGACACAUGGACUGCUUUUCCCAUCUCAUUUAAAAGCCAUCGUGGUGUGAGGGCAAUUACCUGUAACAGGCAGUGGGAGCCCAGCCCUUGGAAGAUUCUGUACAAAGUGAAGAAGCCCAGAGGCAGCCCAGGAGCGAUACUUUUUAAGGUGUUUUCCAUCAGUCCACAGGUGGUGGCUACACGGACAGGGGAUAAUGCUGGUACCUGCAACAGGAUGAAUGAAGUCAGAGGGAGUAUAAGUCCAUUUUCAUUUGAUCAUAGUUUCCUCUUUUUUUCAAUCUUAGCUGUCAAAGAGGCAAUCUUUUCCUUGUAAAGUGGAAGGAAGAUCUAAGCAAUACAAGACCUAUCUUCAAAAAUACAUACCAAGUGUCUUGAUGUUUGUUUUAAAGUAUAUUUAAACUUUGCAAGAAAAAAAAAAAACAAAACAACAACUUUCUGCUUUGAGGGUCUUCCCAUUCAAAAGACAAGCCAUCUACGAAGUCCUAACUGAAGCUAAUACUGUAAUUACAC